ACAUAGUCUAGUGAGGAAGCAUAAUUAUUGCCUUAAAUGUAGAUGCUCCAUCAAGUGAUCGGUGAAUCUUUGAGCCAAGGUUUUCCCACCUUCAACCCAGCAGCAAGCAAAAUGGAAGAACCGAAAGGCAGGAGAUCAUCGUCUGACUCCACCAUCAGUGUGACACAGACGACAGGAAGUUGUGGGCUGACAAUCAGGUCGUCCAGCCUCUAGC
Molecule: long non-coding RNA, 214 nt
Filed under: Capra hircus (goat)
Lineage: Eukaryota; Metazoa; Chordata; Mammalia; Artiodactyla; Bovidae
Description: lncRNA (ENSCHIG00000007154.1)
Source: RNAcentral